CGUCAAGCCAUCAUGCCCCUUAUGUCCAGGGCUUCACACGUGCUACAAUGGACGGUACAAACGGUUACCAACCCGCGAGGGGGAGCCAAUCCGAUAAAACCGUUCUCAGUUCGGAUUGUAGGCUGCAACUCGCCUACAUGAAGCUGGAAUCGCUAGUAAUCGCGGAUCAGCAUGCCGCGGUGAAUACGUUCCCGGGCCUU
Molecule: ribosomal RNA, 200 nt
Filed under: uncultured organism
Description: partial small subunit ribosomal RNA
Rfam family: Bacterial small subunit ribosomal RNA
Source: RNAcentral